GAAGCCUGACUCUCCCAGACCACAGCCCGACGCCCAGCCAUGCUGACGUCCAGACUCCACACAAGGGCCUCCGAGAGGGGACAAGAUGUGAUGCCACGACCCCCAGCAACCCCCCUCCAACACCACCGUCCCUGUGAGCAGAAAUCCCCUGAAUCCUUUCCUUCUUCGUCAAGGCCCUCCCUCGGGAGGGAUCUUUGUGUGAGAGGAGCACUGAUGCUUUGGGAGGAUGGCAGGCCAGCCCGGGAGGGCUCAGAGCCUGGCCGAGCCAGGUCAUCAUGCCAGGAAAGGUGGAGGCGAGGGGCAGAAGAGCAUGUGGUAUUGAGGGGAAGGGGCUGGGAGAUUGUGGGGAUGAGGUGGGCUGGGUGGUGGCCUCUCAGUCAGGGAGAACCCGAGGCACUAGGGGGCUGGAAUGGGUGGGAGGGAGUUGCAUGGGUCAUGUUUCCUGCACCUUAGGCCACUCAUCCCUCAAAGCCUCGCUUUCCUCCCUUAGAUCUUGGGCCUGGGGGAAGGAGAAAAUGAAGCGGGAUAUGGAAGAGCCUAGAGCUGUGCCUGGCACAGAGAGAGGGUCCAUUAUCUGUGUGAGCCUCCGUGGGACUGGAACUCUCCAGACACCACUUCUGUGGCAGGAGAUGCAGAAUGGCCAGCACGGGCAUGCUUGUUCUCAUCAUCAAACUAUGGUGGAGACCUUGCCAGGUCAUUAUCUAUGGAUCUGCUCUGGCAAGAAGUGAAGAGGAACUCAAAAGCCUCUUGAUGAAAGUGAGAGUGGAGAGUGAAAAAGUUGGCUUAAAGCUCAACAUUCAGAAAACGAAGAUCAUGGCAUCUGGUCCCAUCACUUCAUGGGAAAUAGAUGGGGAAACAGUGGAAACAGUGUCAGACUUUAUUUUUGGGGGCUCCAAAAUCACUGCAGAUAGUGACUGCAGCCAUGAAAUUAAAAGACACUUACUCCUUGGAAGGGAAGUUAUGACCAACCUAGAUAGCAUAUUGAAAAGCAGACAUUACUUUGCCAACAAAGGUCCGUCUAGCCAAGGCUAUGGUUUUUCCAGUAGUCAUGUAUGGAUGUGAGAGUUGGACUGUGAAGAAGGCUGAGUGCCGAAGAAUUGAUGCUUUUGAACUGUGGUGUUGGAGAAGACUCUUGAGAGUCCCUUGGACUGCAAGGAGAUCCAACCAGUCCAUUUUGAAGGAGAUCAGCCCUGGGAUUUCUUUGGAAGGAAUGAUGCUGAAGCUGAAACUCCAAUCCUUUGGCCACCUCAUGCGAAGAGUUGACUCAUUGGAAAAGACUCUGAUGCUGGGAGGGGUUGGGGGCAGAAGGAGAAGGGGACGGUAGAGGAUGAGAUGGCUGGAUGGCAUCAACGACUUGAUGGACAUGAGUCUGAGUGAACUCCGGGAGUUGGUGAUGGACAGGGAGGCCUAGCAUGCUGCAAUUCAUGGGGUCUCAAAGAGUCGAACACAACUGAGCGACUGAACUGAACUGAACUGAAGAAUUCCAUUGUAAGGUGAACCAUAGUUUAUCAAUUAAUUUCCCUGCUGCUGGAUAUUGAAGUUAGUUUGCAGUGUUUUGCUGUUACAGUGAUACUGGCAAUAUCUUGUCCUUGGCACUUCUGUGGCCUGUUUGCUUCUCAAGUAGAUUCUAAGGAGAGGAACUUGAGGAAAUGGUAUCAGUUAUCUUUUGCUGCAAUAAUGCUGUGUAACAAAUGACAGUGAAAGUCGCACAGUCAUGUCUGACUCUUUGUGACCCCACGGACUAUACAGUCCAUGGAAUUCUCCAGGCCAGAAUAUUGGAGUAGGCAGCUGUUCCCUUCUCCAGGGGAUCUUCCCAACCCAGGGAUUGAACCCAGGUCUCCUGCAUUGCAGGUGGAUUCUUUACCAGCUAAGCCACCAGGGAGUGUAACAAAUAGUCCUGGAUUUCAUGGCUUAGAACAACAACCAUUUAUUCUUUCUCACCAGUCAACAAGGUGGUUGGGCAGUUCUGCUGAUCUGAUUGUGGUUAUGCUUCCUUAUGUGUUUAAAGUUCACUAGCAAGUCAGCUGGGGAAGGCUGGUCUUAAAUGGCUUUAGCUGGGACAGCCCAUUUCUGCUCCGUAUGGCCGCUCUUCCUCAAUCAGAUUAGGCUGGGCUUGUUCUCCUGGUGGAGGCGGGGGUCUAAGAGGUGAGGGGAAGUGUGCAGGGCCUCCGGAAGUCUGGGCUCAGAACUGGCCCACGGUCACUUUUGCUCCAUUCUAUUGACCAAAACAGACCACAAGACCACCUAGAUUCAAAGGCUGGGGAGUAGAGUCCACCUCUAGAAAGGAAGAGUGGCAAGUCACACUGAAAGAAUAUGGUGGGAGCACGUGGAGGGCAGAAUCGGGGCGCUUUCUGCAGUCAGUCUACCACACUUUUUGAGUAGGCACCUGUUCCGUUCAACUGGAUGCUGCCAAACGGUCCCCCGAGUGGCUGGUCCCAUGGUCUGCAUCCUACGGGCAGAAGGAUUGUUUUCCACACCCUCCGCCGCACAGAGUCUGAGCGCUUGGGCUGGAUCUGUCAUUCUCCACACAGUGUAAGCUUUUACGAAGACGAUGGAGCAAUGAAAUGCAUCCUCUUAGAGUACCAAUUUUACUCAUCUUUUUGAGGGUCAAAAACCCAUUUUUUAAAAAAUCAAGCACAGAUAUAACUCAUCAAAAUGCAAAAUUUGCAUGAAGUCUUAAGGAAAAAAAGGUAAAAUUUCAAAGAAAUAUCUUGCUAUCAAAGCCAGUUACUUUAGAUUUUACACCAUACUCUCAGAAUUUCUGCACUGGUUCACUUGUGGCUCAACUAAUACUGAGAGCUCACCUCCUAUGCACCAGGCAUGGUUUUGGUUCCAGGGACGCAAGGGGUGACCUGAGAGUCAAGGUCCCUUCCCUCUUGGAGCUGAAUAUUUAUGGAGAGAAAAGAGACAAAAACAUUAACAUUGUAAUUUCAAAAAAUGAUAGAAGCCAUGAAUAAAAUAAAACAGGGUAAUAUGGUAGACAGCCUCCAGGGUUCGGAGAUUUCAUUGACUCCUUGAUGGCUUCAGCAAAUAUUUACUGAGUUUCUUUUGACGAUCAAGUCACCAUUCUAGGUGCUGGGGUCAAAGAACAAAGAUCCUUGCCCUUCUAGAGCUGAUACUCCAGGGGAGGCAGGAUGGCAGAGACAGACAACAAAGAAUAGAGAUAACAAAUAUAAGUUAUCUGGUGUAUUAGGUGAUGGGCUUCCCAGGUGGCUCUCAGUGGUAAAGAAUCUGCCUGCCAGUGCAGGAGAUCCAGGUUCAAUCCCUGUGUGGGGAAGAUCCCUUGGAAUAGCAAAUGGCAACUCACUCCAGUAUUCUUGCCUAGAGAAUCUCAUGGAUAGAGGAGCCUGGUGGACCACAGUCCACGGGGUUUGCAAAGAGCUGGACACAACUGAGCGGCUAAGCACGUGCACAUGUGUUACCUGAUAAGGGCUAUGUCCACUCCAUUGCCCCCACCCCCGCCAGAUAAAGAAAAGCAGGAUAAAAAGGGGAAUCAGUCCUGAGAGAUGCUGGGGCAGUAGCUGAGUGAAGUGGGAGGCGGGGGCCUCCUGGCAGAAUUGAAGGAGGGAAGGAGGAGCCAUGCCCUCCUCUGGGGUGAGAGGAGUCCAGGAUCAGGGCACACCUGUGGCAGAGGCCAAGUCAGGAGUGUGCAUGGUCCAUGAAGGAGCAGAAAGAGGCCAGUGGGGCCAGAGCAGAGCAGGGAAGGGAGGGCGGGUGACGAAGCCCCAGAGGGAGUCACACAGCCACAGCAGGCUUUGGGGUUUUCACCCUGCACCAGUGUGGGCCACCGCGGGGUCUGAGCAGAGGAGGGAUGUCCUCUGCCUUCUGUUUCCAAAGGUGCCACUGGUUGCUGCAGAGAAUACACUGUAGGCAAAGGGCUGGCAGCAAAGGAGACCAGUCCAGAGGCUCUGGCAGCUGUCCAGGUGAUGGAGGCUCAGCCCAGGGUGCCAGCGGCGAUGGGGUGGUGGAGUGAAGCGGCCAGACUCUGG
Molecule: long non-coding RNA, 3989 nt
Organism: Bos grunniens (domestic yak)
Lineage: Eukaryota; Metazoa; Chordata; Mammalia; Artiodactyla; Bovidae
Source: Ensembl